CCUGCAUUUAGAUUUACAGCCUGAAAGACACAACACAAAAGGAAAAAGGGAUGGGGAGGGUAAAGGGGGAAAACAAACUCCGGUACCAGUUCUUAAAAGUUACAGUUCUGAUAACAACUGGUAGCAUGGAAACAGUUCAGGAUAUCGGACAGGAUGGUUACUGCUCCGUGCCAGAUGUGGGAGAAAUAGAGCCGAAGACAGCUGGUCUCUUAAAAGAGCUGAUAGAGCAGCCUUGCUUCCAUUCUCUUCCUCUACUGCAGCCUGAUGGAAUGGCUGCUGCUAGGUUACAGUUGAGGCAGGCAAGGCAGUUGGUCUGUCAGCAGAGUUGAUGUUGAGAGUUAACCAUCACAGUCUGUUAUGUUAUCUCUCCCAUGUCAUCAAUGAUAUGAUGUGCAGAGUGUUUUCUAAUGGACACUUAGGCACUCACACUGCAAACUCAUUUAUCAUAUUCAUAAAGUCAGUCACAGUUCCAGAUUCUAUUUGAAAAAUUGAUCUCUGAAGCUUUGAUUAAUUUCCUUACUGGUAGCAUAUGCUGGCAGAGCGCUGAUGGGAGUUGUAGUCCAACGACAUCUGGAGGUUGGUGACGGCUGGUUUACAGGAUUAAACUGCAACUUGCUUAUUAAUAUAAUAUAAUUUUGCACAAUUCUGAUUUAAGAGAAUUGUGGAAGCUCUAACAACCAGGGGCGUAGCGUGGGUUGUCAGGACCCGGGGCAAGGCAAGUAAUUUUCACCCCCUAACCCGUGGAUUUGCGCCCCCUAACCCGUGGAUUUGCGCCCCCUAACCCUAACCCCCAGAUGUUGCGCCCGGUGCGGCUGGCCCCCCCUGCACCCCCCACGCUACGCCACUGCUAACAACAAAAUUAGGGCUACUUAGAACUUAGAGUGGUGGUGGGUGCAGAUCCCCUGUUUUCAGUAAAUUAAGUUAAUUUGUGUUUCCCAGUCUUCUCUGUCAUUCAAUUUCAGUUUAAAACAUCAUCCAGGGAUCAAAUGACUCCUUAAUAAAGUGCAGUGCAGAAGCCUCAAAAUCGUCUGACUUGGUAUAAGGCAGCUUCCUAUAUUCCUAUGAUCAAAGCACACAAAUUGUCUGGAGGAAAUAGACUAUAGACAGGCACAGAAAGACCCUCUGUUGAAGUCACCCCCUACUUAUCCAAGCAUGUGAUCUCAGCUGAGUCCUCCUGAGUUGGUUCUAGCCUCCAGUGUUCCAAAAUUAUCCAGUAUGAAAAGUUAAUAGUGAAAGCUCAGCUCCUUCCUAGUUGUACAUAAAGUUCCUUAGAACUUAGCAACUGCAGGUAGGGCUGGAAGGUAUCCUUGUCUGAAAUCCGAGGAAGCCACCACCAGUCUAUGUAGAGACAAUACUGACCUAGAUGGACAGAUGGACCCACUCAGUAUAUGGUAGCUUUCUAUGUUCCUCCGAAUUUUGGUUAGGGCAGGAACUGCUUCCUUCUUUGAAAUAAGUGACCUCACUACAUUUGUCCAUCAUCUACAUCCACCCAUGUAGAUUAAAAAGGUAAAGGUAAAGGACUCCUGACAGUUAAGUCCAGUCGCAAACGACUCUGGGGUUGUGGCACUCAUCUCGCUCUAUAGGCCAAGGGAGCCGGCAUUUGUCUGCAGACAGUUUUUCCGGGUCAUGUGGCCAGCAUGACUAAGCUGCUUCUGGCGAAACCAGAGCAGUGCAUGGAAACGCUGUUUACCUUCCCGCCAGAGCGGUACCUAUUUAUCUACUUGCACUUUGACAUGCUUUUGAACUGCUAGGAGGGCAGGAGCUGAGACCAAACAACAGGAGCUCACCCAGUCACAGGGAUUCGAACCGCUGACCUUCCGAUCGGCAAGCCCUAGGCUCUGUGGUUUAAUCCACAGCGCCACCCACGUCCCCUACCCCUGUAGAUUAGAUUACUGUAAUAGAGAGAUACUGAGGGAGUGCCUGUUGAUGUCACUAUGUUGGGUUUCUUUAUACUCUUGUGCUUUGUUCUCUGCUGUGAGUACAUAGGAUCAUAAGCAGGAUAUGCUGCAUUGAGACUUUCCUAUGAAUGACUACAUGUAGGAUUGCACCACUGCUUAAGCAAAACUAUAGUAUCAGCUUGCCUGUCACAAGUCCAACUAAUUUGAGCUGGAUGAGAUUAAAUGCAUUUUGAAUCCGGGUGUAAGGAAAGCACAGAGCUACAUAAAUAACUUUCCUCACCAAAAUCAUUUAUCAGUGACGAUGGAAAAAGUGAAUUAAAAGUUGGAACUGAAAGAUACAAUGCCCAAGAAAGAACAGCAUACAAUAUAUUAAAUUACACUAAUUCGUGUGUUUCGUUUUCCUGGUCAUAAAAUGUCAGUUCCCAGCAAAGGUUUUACAGUGUCGUGGUGUGGAAUUUCAGCAGCAUGAACACCUGCUUCACAAGCUGGAGAGGAAUGUUUGAGAAUGGCUUUUUCUGCAGUGAUGAUUCAAGUGGCCUGAGCAACACAUGGCAAUAGAGGUGGUGGGUGCAACUCACCAGGGACUUCUCCAGCACAAGCCUAAUUGAAAUGAACUGGAAUGACACAACUGAUGCUCUUGCCAAUUUCCAUUGCAAUGAAAAAUCUUCAGUAAAUAAUAUCUCCAGCAGUAGUAGCAACAACAGGGAUGGUCCAUAAAACAUUGUUUCUAAUAAAAUGAAAAUCCUAUUAAUACAAACAGUAGAUCAUAAAAACAGAAAUCGUGAUCUGCCAGGCUGGAUUUGUAUUUGCUUCAUAAUCCUUUUCCCAAUCCAGCAGUCUUUUUUACAAUCUAGGAUCCAUCCUUUACCCAAACCUGGAAUAUGGGACUCACUUUUAAUUCUUUAACUGUGUUUCAUCUGCUCUUCUUUUUCUGCUGCUAUUAAUUCUUCAUCUCCCCUCCUUUCCCUCUGCCUCUUCUUCCCCAUCCCCUUGCCUCUCUCCCCUUCUCUUAAAAUAGUUUUAAUUUGCCACUGAAAGACUUAGCAACAAAGGUAACUCAUGUGUACCUCUCCUGGGAGAGCGUUCUAGAGCCCUGGAUAGCUAAUUUCAGAAGACAAAAUAUUGAGCUAGUUGCUGUAGGAUCCAUUUCUCUUUUCUGACCCCUUCCUUUUUAUAGAAAGGAGCAAUAUACCUUAUGGAUCCAGGAGGAACUGUGCCUUCAGUGCCAAUGUGGUCUUCUGUGGAAACCAAGAGGAUAGGAAGAUAGGAAGCAGCCUUCUGUUGAGUCAGGCUAUUGGGUCCAUUGAGAUCAGUAUUGUCCGCACUGAGUGAUAGCAGCUCUGCAGGGUUUUGGGUCUCUCCCAGUCCUACCUGGAGAUGCCACUGAUUGAAUCUGGGACCUUUUGCAGGCAAAGCAGAUAAUCUGCCACUGGAAAAAGGCCCAAGAACGAGGUUUCAUCUGGUAUUCUGAAGAACUGAAGCAAACUCAAACUUUACAUAAAUUGUAACAUAUAUAAGCAGCCUUCAGGGCUUCUAGCUCUGGUGAGAUACGGAUGGAUGGUGUGGUUUUAUAAUGUACCCUGAGAGAUUUUCUGUGCGUAUAAAUUAAACGAGUUGUAUGUACUUAUGGCUGAGGAAAUGAAAAUGGGCAGGCUUAAAAAAAUAAAUAGAUACAAAUGUAAUCAAGCCGAGAACGAACGAACUUUUUCAUUUCCAGCUUACCCAAGGGACUGACAUAAUUGCCUAAUUGCUGUGAUUUGGACCUUAGAGACAAGAUGCAGGAAGUGCCUUUGAAAUGUCUGUUUGACAUACAUGCUUUUAAUUGGAGAUGCACAAAUGAUUUCAUAGUUCCAGUGCUGUUUAUAUUUCAUUUUUCAUUUUUUUAAAAAGCUGCUCAAAGGCCAGUCGUCAUGUGACUGUAUGCCAGUUAUAUGAAAUUAGGUGGUAAUAAAGCUUGCAAGAGCAGGAUGUGUAUGUAACAUAGGGAAAGGGACUCUUUGGCCUUCCAAAUGUUGCUGGAGCAUUGCCUUUGACCAUUGGUCAUGCUGCCAUGCCAAUAGGAGGAGGCAGACACCAACAAUAUCUGUAGGGCCACAGGUUCCCCACCUCUCAUUUAAUGCCUGUGAAUGACCCCAGCCAGAAUGCUCUGUAUGUCCUACCCUUAUGCAUGGGACAAGAAUCCUCCCUCUGCACAAAGAAAUUUACAGAACAGUUCUAUAGUGUCUACUCAGGUCCUAUUAAGGUCAUCAGGGUUUACUCCCAGGUAUACGAGUAAGGAUUGCGGCCAUAAGCCUUGUUGAUUCACUCACCAAUAUAGGGAUAUCCAACAUAUAGAAAACAGGGGUUCAGUAUUCUGCAUUUGCAUAUUCAGGGCCAUCUUUACUCGGGGAUGCAAGGGGUGCAGUGCAUCCGAGUGCCGAAUUCUGGGGGGCGCCAAAUUUACUGGCGGCAGUAAAAAGCAAUGGACCCCUCCGUCACUCUGUUACUCUGUAGCAUCAAAUAUUCCCGAAGAAUCAGGAAACAAAAGCAGCUAUUUCUGCUGCAUUGUCAGCAACUUCGGCUUCUUUCCUCCCAAAAAAGCUCAACAACUUUGAGUCUUCCCCCUAAAAUUUUUAUGGGCGUGGCUAAACUAAAUUUGGGGGUGCUGGGUGGAUUUUUGCACCCUGGUGGUGCAUAUGCUAAAGACAGCCCUGUGCAUAUUCAAACACUCCCCCCCCAAAAAAAAACACACAAGAGAAGUCUGAUAACAGGACCUUGCUUGUCUCUUUCUUGAAGCCUGGGAUAUGAGUUCUGCCUGACAAAGCGCAGAUGGGUAGCAUGUGGGGCUGUGGGAGUGACACCUUCACUUCCCAAAGUUGAAGCAGCCUAGGAUUGUGAGAAGAGAGAUUUGCGAUGGCAGCCAGGAUCAUCAAUCUGCCACACACACACACACACACACACACACACACACACACUGAAUGCCCCCUAUCCACACUUUAAGAGGGUUCCUAGGGUUGGAAACGUAUCUACACUUGUAGAAAGUAUGCUCUAUUUACUUGUACAGACAUAACAAUACUGAAAAAUUAAACAGCCCUUAAAACAGUGGAAGUAUUUUGUUUAGUUUUUUUAAACAGUUGCAGACACAACUCAUACCUUUAUAAAUGUGUCUAAACUCUGAAAUACUAAAUUUAUGUGUUUGGAAGUUAAUCCAUUCAUUCCAAAAAAUACACAAUAUCAUCACAUAAAGUCCCUUUUGUGAGUGCACCUGUGAAGUCUCAAGGCUGAGAUUUCAGAAAGCAAAUCUUUUAAAAUUAUGUUCUUACUCACUAUGGUACAUUUUCUUCAUUUAAUGUGGAUUGUUAUAGUAUACAAGGCUGAGAUUUCAGUAUACAGAGCAAGAUUCUUCCAUGUACAGUUUGCAAACCCUAACUGAGAAAAUAGCAUUGCUGUGUCUGUGUAGAAGGCACACAGAAUAACCAUUGUGUAUUUAGCAGUACUUACACCCUUGAAUGUCAGGACCAGGGAAUAAAUGCUAAAGAAGGUGGUUUAUCCCUUUCCUCAAUUGAAAAGCUGCCACAUUUUCUAUAAACGUUAUUUGGACACCUACCAGAGUCAAAUCAAAGACACUUUGGUUUAAUGUCUUAUGUAAAGAUUUAAUAGUACUUUGGAACAAAAGCGCUUCUUUAAACUAAACAAACUUUAUUGCAUUAAUCUUAAGCACUAUUAAUUCAUACAUUUAAUGCCUGUAAAUUGGCAGACUGUAAAAACAAAAUGUGUAUUUAACUGCAAAAUAGCCUUGCAUAAAUCUAAUUCACCAAACGUGAUGAAAGGGAAAACAUAAUGGAUGUGAAAUGCUACCCAAGUAAAGCUUAAGGCAGCGGGUGGGGGUGGGGGGUGGGGAGUUGGAAUACAAAAGCUUCUAAUUCAGGCUUUUCAACACAUGUCAUUCUUUGGGCUGCAAUUAAACUUUUCAACUCUGAAAGCAAACAUUUAAAAUAUUCCUUAGGCUUACUCUGACACAUGUGAAAAUGUUCCAUUGGCAUGAAUAUGUUGACCCCCGACGUUAUUAGGCUUAGGGAAGUAUUUCAUCCCUAGGGAUUUUUUAUUUUUAAAACUGUUCAUUCAUUGCUAUAAUAAUCUGGUCAUAUCUUGGAGAAGCCAGACUGAGAUUCUGAAGUCACAUGUAGCUUUGUGAUAGUUUUGACAUGCUCCUCCAGCUUGUCAACAUCCUUCUUAAAUUGCGGUGCCCAGAAUUGGACACAGUAUUCCAAGUGUGGUCCGACCAAGGCAGACUAGAGUGGUACUAUUACUUGCCUUGAUCUGGACACUAUACUUCUGUUGCUGUUGUGAGUGCACAAUUAGCAGGAGCAUGAACUUAGCCUAAAUGACCCAUUGUUAGGGGCUAACACUGCCUGCCAGUGCGCUUGCUUCUGCUUCCUCCAUAAUAUUUCCUCAACCUGCACAUUUGCAAAUGACUUAUUGCAGACACUUUACAUCUACAGAGAAGUCUCAUUCUUAGGAAUUUGGCCUUGCAAAGACUGCCAUAAACUUCCCACUUCUCAGGAGACAAUGAUCAUGAGAGAAUAUCAUGAGAGCAUGUGUUUACAGUUCUAAUGAAAAUGUGGAGUUUAAGGCACAUCCUUAGCAGAAGCAGGUGACCGACUUAUUUUAUUGGGAGUAGAGUAUACUGCACUUCUUCCUAGUGACAUGUUGGGUCUACAGAAAAGAACCAAUAAAAGAGCAGUUCCAUCAAAGCAAAAAGCCUUCUGUUUACGCAACAAAUGAAGCUGUCACUAUGUUCAUAAUUUAGCAGGGCUAUUUAGAAGAUGCCAAAUCCUUGUGAGAUCCCCAAGUGAAGUCAACCACAGAAAAAUGAGAGAGACUUAACAAAAUGUAACUGAAGUCAGUUGUUGGCUAAGGAGGAGCAAUACAAACACUCUAAAAAUAUCCCAACUUUUAUUUCUGCCUCUGAUUUUAAACAUGAGCUUGAUUUUAAACAUGAGCUCGAUGGUUAUUUUUGUGUUAGUGACAAGAAAAUGUUAGCGUUAGAAGUUUUUCUGACAACAGCUGGGAAACAGCAGAUGUCUGCCUAUAAAUUAUCGGCUAUCUGGUAGGCCAUACAUAUUUGUCGGAUGAAAAAAUACAGGUGCCUCCCUUCUGUAGAAGCCUGGAGAGAAGAACAGCUGCACCACAAGCAGUGAAAUACAACCCAUACCCUCAGUCGAUAUACCAUUAUUGUUCUGAGAACUCUAUCUUAGCUCUUACAAUGAAAUCUUGGCCUCCGGUGUGGAAAGCACUGCAGACGUAAAACAGCAAAAGUAGUCACAGAAAAGUUUAUCCAAAUCAAGCCUUUCCUGGUAUCCCUUUCUGCUUAAAAACAACAACCCCCAAACAACCAGCAUUUUAUGGGCUGAUGCCAUAGUUUUUCUUUGCAAUCCUUAUUUGGGCAACCUUGUUUAUGAAGUUCUAGAAUGUGAUUUAUUCAUUUUCAGUAGCUUCUUGUGCUUCUGGCAGAUCAAUCAAAUCAACAUAAGUUCAUUGUUUUGGCCAAAGGCCAUGACAAACCCACACAACAGUGCUAAUAAACAAUACAAAUCAUACAUCCAUAAUAUGAACCACCAUCCAUGAUGUAAGAGGCAGGUUACCAGAGGCACCAACAAGCUCAAAUCCAUCUUGGUUUCAAAUUAAACCUCCGAAUCAUCACAACAAUUUAUUGUGAUUUCUCUAAUUCCUUCUGUUUUCCUUUCUUUCAGCCAGUUCAUAGAGGGCCACUCAGUGUUACAAAACUAUUAUUGUCACUCAAAAGAAACUGAAACAUUUUUGCCAGGUUGUAUCUGCUUGCGUGUGUGAACAAAGGUUUCAGAAAGUAAUCUCUUGGGUCUCAGAUCUUCCACCUGAGGUUGACCACAAAUACAAAGCCUAUCUGCGUACUGGACCUUGUAGCAGCCAUCCAAGACUGCAGUGAGCAUCACUUGGAAAUGCAGGUCAGUAAAGGCAUUUCUUUAGGAAACUGGUGAGAGUAGAGUCAGAUAACUAGUGCUAAGAUGCUCUGUUCUCAAGAGUGGAUUCCAAGGGGAAAUUUGGGUGAUCAGAAUUAGUCGCAGAUCCCUUCUGGAUUCUAUCCAGGAGAGCCAAUUCCUUAGCUGAUACUUAUUCAAGAUCAAAGCACAGCUCAGUUCUGGAAAGUAAUAAUAGUCUGAACCAUCUUGACAAGCUGUUUUCCAGAGUUGGUUAUCACUUAAUUCCAUAUAGCACAGCACAGUUAAAAUACUUUAACUGAGCGCAGUUUGCUCUUGCCUUAAUGACUGGCCACCUAAAUUCUGUACAAAGAAGACCUGCUCAUAUUCCUGAUGGUAGAGAGUAUAGCUCCCCCCCCCCAAAAAAAAUGAAUGUUUUGCAGUGUUUCCAAAACUAUUCAAAUCAGAGCCCCAGAUUUCAAGGCCAUAAAGCAUUUAGGUAAGCUCCUCACUACCAAAUAUCUUUACAGUGGAUUGAAUCAGCUGCUCUCCCUUACUGUGAUAGAACUUCAUCAAUGCCCCAGUGCUUUUCUGUGCUUUGACUUUCAUUGCCUCCAUAUGACACUUCCAAGAGAGGGUGGGUGGGUGGUUGGUUGGUUGGUUGGUUUUUGGUAGUUUACAUUGUGCAGUUGAUGCAGAAGACAACUGCAGAACAUGGCAUUCUUCCCAGUGGUGAAAAACAACACUGAAACCAGGUCUAAAUGGAAAGACUUUUAAAGCCAGAAAUUGGCAACGCAGCAUCUAACAAGUUGGAUUGGGUGUGGUGUUAGGAGGAGAGGGGCAGGGUAUCUGAGGGAUAGGGCUAUCUGAGUUCUGAAAUCUCUUUUGUUUACCUCCCACUGAAUUUUAAGAGAGUGCUCUGACCCAAAAUUGGGGUAUGGGGGAGUGGUAGAGGGAGUCCACAGCCACUGCUUAUCCACAGAAUGUAUCCUUAAUCUUUAUACACACAUAGCUGUCUAUAUUUGGCUAACAUCCAAUUACAGAAUGAUUAUUAAACAAGAAAAUCAACAAUAACAUUUUAAAACCCACCUCAUAAAAACAUAUUUUGAUUAGAAACCAGAUGGGUUAAUUUGGAAAAAAAGAGAACAAAGUAAAUGCCAAUAAUAAAAUAAUGGUUAUUAAAAUCAUGGGUUUUGUGAAUAAGUUAUGCCUGCGUUAAUGAAGGAUGGCAAAAAAUAAUGCACAUUGGGGAAGUUGGCAAAGUUAGUUUCUUUUAACUUUGCAAGUGCUAUGUAUAUAUUGUUAUGAAUCUGCUAACUUUCUGAGGAUUGGUGUUUGUUGUUUGGUGAUCUUUUGUAUGAGUUGUGAGUGUCUCUGUGUGUGUUCUUAAGGAAACAACAAUAUGGGUAUGGUCUCAUCAAAAGUAAGCAUGUUUCAGGGUCAUGGACUUCAGUGAGAGAAAGUUUAACACAUGCUUUUCUCUCACACUGAAAUCGAGGGAAGUAAAUGUGCCUAUUCUUAGUUGGAUGUUGCCAGAUAUCUUUAAAAUUAUAAAACUCAGUGGCACCUGAAAGCUUUCAGGUACAGAUGGACCUUUCUUGGUAAAAUAUACCUUUUUAAAAAGUAUUUUUUUUGCCAUGGUGCAAUCCUGCAAACAUCCAUUGCUCUGAACCCCUGGCCUACCUGGCAGCAAGUCAGUAGGUCAAGUCCUUAGUCCAGGGUCAAUUCACAUGUCCACAGUCCCACAGAGAUCUUGCAGCAUCCAAACUGAGGUCCAUCAACGUGGGCAGUUGAGCAGACACAGCACCUCAGCUCUGCAGCCCUUCUUACUUUGUAAACUGAUUGCAGCAUCUGGGCUUGACGAGGCAUGUGACCCUCACCUGUUCUGAGUCUACUCUGAGGAAUCACACACCUCCUCCCAGAGCUAGUAUGUCCUACUUGACCAGCUAGGGAGCUGGGCUGUAAGCCCUGCUUGUCUCAAUCUCCUGGAUUGCCCCACCCACUUCUCCCUACGUCUUGGAACCCGCUUUGUUUGUGGAGACAGGGGCCCCUCUGGCUCUGGUGAUGGGUCCUGCUGCUCUGGUUCCUGUGCACUGGCGCCCAUCCCCUCAUCAUCAUCUAUCACCCCAUGAAUACUUCUUACACUAACCUUCUUACACCAACCUCCUUCCCCAUCUCCAGUUUGCCCCAGUGUGUCCCAGUCCUGGCUACAUCCCUCACCAGGAUCCUCUUCCUCCUUGCCAUUGUUCUGCCAGUUCAUGACACCCAUGUUGAUAGAUGGUGUGGCAUUCUGGGAUUGUGUCGAGAGGUCUCUCCAGUGGCCUUUGCCAUUGGAGUGACAUACUGCUGGUGGUAAGAAUCGGUGAGCUCUGAAAUGGACCAUUUGGGAGCAGAGUGGCAGAAGCUUUGGAUCCACUGGAUCCAAAGCCCCAAGGGUCCUCUGAGGGGCUUUGUGCUUGUGCCUGUCAGCCAUGCCAACCAGGAUUUGGAAUAGUGAAAACUAAUACUCCCACCACCACACACAUGUUUGUGUGCUUCUGACAUGGCUGGUGGUGAGAGCUAAAAAAACUAUGGCUGUGGUGGUAGAGCCACUUUUUCUCCCCAGCCCCUCCUUAGAAUUUCACUGUAAUUUUACUACCCCUUCAGACAAUUUUUGGGGGGUGGAGGCAGGGAAGAAUGAUAAUAUCCAUAUCCUACAAUUAAAGACCACGGCUUCCCUCAAAGAAUUCAGGGUACAAACUACUGGUACUUGUCAAGGGAGCUGGGAACUGUAGAUCUGUGAGGGGUAAACUACAGUUCAUUGAGGGAAGCAAUAUACUUCAACUGUAAGAUGGGGAUGUGGCCUUGUGGCACAUUUUGAAGCAUUUCCAUUUUAACUGGAGCAAGGAAGAUUACAAUUAUUUUAUUGUGGUUGCCAAAGAUACAUUUUAAGUACAGAGAAGGAAGUGCAAAAGUUUUCAGUUUAGACCGAGUGUCAAAAGUUGUAAAGAGAAUUGCAAGCUGUCUUUUACAUGAAGUUGGCACUAUGGUUAUUUCACACGUUACUAGUAAUUCCGCAUUUUUCUUGAACUCUACAUUUCAUUGUAAAUCUAGUGAUACGCUCUGCCUUAAUUUUUUAGGCUCGUUAGGGCUUUAAGGUCAGAACAGCAACAAUGCAAAACUGAUUAAUAGCAAAUGAUCAGAUUAAUACCACAAUAAGACUUCAUCUAAACUCACUGACAAUAUGAUAGGCAUAAUGGGGCCCAUUAAUACCUCCUGGCAGUCCUUAAAAGAUGAGACAAUGCAGCUGGCAGCUUGAAAUGGGAGCAGCUGGGAGAGGACAACUUGGUUUUCUACAUAUUUAGGCAUUUGGCAUUUGGUAGCUAAAGGGAACACUGUUCAGCAAUAAUAAGUAACACAUCAACACUAACAAUUUGCAAUGAUAUCUUUUGUUAUGGCCUGGUUAAUCCUCAAACUCAACAUAGCUCUUUGGGGCCAUCUGUUGUGUAACUUGCUUCUUAUUUCUUAAAGUAUUUAUUUAUUUAUGCCUUCUCAAUUUCAUCAACAUACUGAUGCAACAUAUCCAAAGAUGGGCUCUAAGAGAAUUCCUUUUAAGAUAUGGGCAAGGUGCCCAUGUCUCUAAAGAUUGGUGCAAUUUGGAUCUUAGACAUUGCAUGGGAAUAGCUACCAAUGUCCAUUCUCCAACAAAGGUGGCUGGUAUCCAUCUGACUUGACAGACAAUGGAGUGCGCCUCCGGGGGUGAAGUCAAAGCGCUGGAGAAUCACAUCUGGCUCCCACAUUGUUUUUGCUGCAUUGGUGUAGGCAGUGUGUAUGGUAGUCCUGGGCUUCCCAGAUGAAAAAAACCCCACUCUCGGCCUCACUGAUGUGAUCCAAAGGAAAGCAGAGCAAUACAUUUGGCACCAGCUUGUCUGCGGGAGUUGCCAGAAGGAGGCGUACAAGGCCCAACCAUCUUAGGGAGUCCAUUCUGGAUUUGUGUAGGGUUACUCCUUAACCUUUUCCUCUCCCAAAAAAUGUCCCACAAGGCAGCAGGUAUGGAUUUUUCCUUGUAGUUUACUCUCAAUGCCUUUUUCAUGAAUGAGUAUAGCUUCAAAGCAAAAACUCUGGAAGGUGGGCCCAAGACUUUUGUUUGGAGGCAGAUACGGUAUGUCUCUGCCGUUCCAUGUGGCAAUUGUGUUCAUCUUGAGACAUGGAUGUAUUCAUCUAUGUUCUAAAAAAGAAGACUAUGCCCAAGGAUACAAUUCAUUUAUCAAUCCCAGCAGAAAAACUACCAGAAAUCAUAUGUGCCUGGAUGUAUACGGUACUCUGUUUAUAUAUGCUGGAUUGAUGUGGGCAUAUGUCCAGCUGAAUGCCCUUUCCCUUGGACAUUUAAAGGUGAAAGUCUGAGCAAAUGUCACCCUUUCCCAUUGAGGGACUGUGGUAGUUCUGCUCGUGAAAUGUGAUGCUUCUGUCAUGCUUAAUGCCUAACAAAGCUUUCAGUCCAGCUUUCAGUCCAGUGAAACUUAAUUGCAAAAUGAAGGCACAUGCACACUAAUUGUUUUUUCCUGAGAUGUCCAAGGAACAGCUGUUCCAGCCAGCUCCUCUUCCCAAUUACUGGUCCAGUCCUGUUAUGUUUGGAUUUUUGGGGUGUGUGUUUUUCCCCUCAAGGGAAGUAUCUUUUUAAUGAAGUACUCCUCUCCUUGUUGCAAUCCAUCUGGAUAGAAAUCCUAGGGCAACAACGAAAUUAAUACUGAGCGAAAUACAAUGCUGUAACUUGUAUGGAAGGGUCUUAUCCAAAGGAUUGUUGUGAAUAAUCACAGUACCAAGUCACCAAAUGUCCGUACGAUAAACCAUGUUUAUUUUGAUUCUUGACAAAUAACAAUUACAGUCUAUGUCAAGUGGCCGUCUAUGGUGGCUUUAGUGUCCAACGGUACAUAGAGCAAUCUUCUGUCUGAUGGGUUGACAGAGGAGCAGAGUGCCCUGUCUGUCUCUCAUUUUGAGAUAAAUAACUUUAGGAAGGGACAACGGAAGCCUUAAUGUUGCCCAUCCACCACCAGCCCCUGGACAGCAGACUGAGCAGGCACACAGGACACCUGGUCAGUGGCCACAGACUUCCCCACAAUGCCAAGAUGUUAAAAUUUAAAUUCGGCACCAAAUGCAAGCUCACUACGGUCACCUGCACUUGAGCACUUCCAAUGUGAGCUCCUGAGUGGAACCCAUCUCUGCCAAAAGCCAGGCUAAAUGCAGUGCCCCAGUUGCAUCGUGGAUUUUCCUUUGCAGAUGUGCUUCAAUCCAAGCCAUGCACAGUUUGGAUGUAAGCGGCUCCUGCAAAGGUCCGUUUUUUCUCCGCAAGUGCAGCUUGAAGCCAAACCACACCUGCAAAGGAAGAGAGCAAAGAAACAGGAGCACUGACCUGCCUCUUUCCUUGACAUACUGGCAGGCAGGAGUGGGGGAUCCCGUUUGCAAUCCCUGAUUUAAACAAUAAUGAUGACUUCUAAAUGUGCAUACGUGUAUUCAAACCUGUGUCCUUUUCUUUUUGGCGAUGCCUUUCCUUUGUUAGGAGCCCAUCCUAUGGCAUUCUAGAGUCCUUCCCUUCAUGGACAGAAUCUGUGAUGGAAGUUGAAGACAUCUCUUUCUUUCAAGCACAUCUGCUUCCGAAAAAGUGCUUCCAUCCUGCCACUUUAUACAGCAGUGAUUUGGGGGGGGGAGUGGGGUGCUAAAAGGAAUUCUGGUUGCAAUUUCCAUGGGUUAUGCCUGUGCUGCAUUUUGCAAUAAUUACACUAUGAACACUAAUCGUAAUAGGUAAAGAACAGAUCUGUCUACUGAUCAUGCAUCUAAUUAUAUUUAAUAGUGACUGAAUAUUUAUCCCCCCCAAAAAAGAGAGAGAGAGAGGAGGAUUAUAUGCCUAUUAGCCUUUCACACAGUAGGUUUGAAAGCCUUGGCCAGAUUAUAGCAUGCAGUUUUAACAGAAGUCAUUGUAGAUACUGAAUUCAAUCAAGAAGGAUACCUAACCUAUAAAAUAUGUUACUGUGUUCCAGUAAUAGUCCAGUUAAUGACAAGUAAUUCAAAACCUGUUAGAAAUAGAUUCACAUUAGGCAGCUUUCAUUAGACAGGAGUAUCAAUCAUUAUGGUUUUAGGGUGUGUGUUUUAAGCGUUAUGGAGACACAUUAUCUUUUAUAUUGAGACCGAUUAGAUUGGGAAACCGCCAGGUCACCUACCACAUGCCUUGCCAUCAGCUGUGAGAAUUUCCAGAGCUGUUACAGCUUGAUUACAUUCAGCCCACACCAGCACAAGGACUGGAGACGAACUUCUUUUGUGCCAGGAGACCCUUAAAUCAGCCAGCACACACAGUUUCCUGUUAACGUGCUGCAUUCACCCUACUGGGCAGACACUAACCAUAUUCCCACCAUGCCAUUAGGCACACCAUCUGCUCUCUGGGGCAGGAAACUGAGUCACCCAGAUAACGAUAGCUAUAUCUCAAUUUUCUAUUAGGGAACUGCCACAUUAAUUCACUAUUUGUUCAUGUAGAACACAUAAUUUCCGUAUAUAUUUUUUGAAAAGGCCAAUAUAGUUAGCCUUCCUAUCUCUAGCUCUAUGCAGUCAUAUGUCACGGAGGAUGAUGCAAGCAGAGAGUUGAUCACAGCCAUGGGCCCCUGCGUUUUAUGGGUAGUGCACUUCGAAAGGCUAAGUAAGGUGUUCUCAUCACCAUCCUGUACUUAUCCCUCCACUUUCAAGCAGGUGCCAGAAUGUGGGAGGAAGCAAGGGUCUCUAAUGCAACAGAUGGUUGGCAACCAAGGUGGCCAUGAAAGCUACACCCCUCUUCAUAUUAAUUACUCAACGCUUGGCAAAUCAGCGUACUAGCACAGGCAAUUAUUUGGUCCUGUCUCAUAGCAGCACCAUUUUGGCCAGAGACUCACAUUAGUCUGGUCCUGGAGAAACCCUUAAGGUUCUUAGAUGUCAAUCUAAGCUAAAUUGCAUCCUGUUGAUACCGAACUUGAUGGAAGGACAAUGCAGCUGAACUUUACAUGUGCUAUCCUCUUAGUCAGUGUUGGGCACCACUGUGGCAAGACUUCCUGCCUCUCAGUGGUCUUGCACUGAGCUGCACUGCAUUAGUCAUGGCGUUCACUGUGUUAAUAUCUGUGGGAGGCAAUCGCAGCCGUGACAGCUCUGUUUGCUUCUGCAGCUGAUGAGGUGCACUCAGUUCAGGUGUGAUCAACAAAGCGACAGUUUGUAGUGAGCUGGUGUCUAGUACAGUUUGGGCUUUUCUACCAUUUUUGACGGCAAACCAGGGUCAAAAAAAGGCCACCAGGUACCCUAGAUCUUCCAAACGCUGGUGUUUUCUUUCUCCCUCCAUCAGCUCCCCCAGAAGAAGCAGGAUUCCAAAUUCAGUUGUCUAGUUGAAUCACAUCUUACACUAAUCUGUGUUUUGAGCAGAGGAAAGAGAAACAAAAUAAUAUUAGAAAACAAAAACAUUUCAGAUCCAAUCUGAUCACGGCAAGCAAAGCCAGGAAAACAAGUGUACGUGGUGAGUGAAGAGUACUCUUGCCUGAGGCACAGUGUUUGCAAGCAGCUGAAUAUGGAAGGAUGGCUUGUAUGUCAACAGAAAGAAAAACAAAGUUGGCGUGCAUGAAAACCGCAGGAUAGAGGCAUUGUAUCUUUUUUUAGUUGAAAAGGUUGUAUUGUGGGCACUGCUUUAUUAGAAUUUUAGCAAUAUAGUCAACUAUGAGAACCUAAUAAUAAAAAGUCAAAUGCGAGAAUUAUAUUUGUAUCUCCUCCCCUCCCCUCCCCUGAACUGUGUCCUCCCCACCCAACUAGUCACAUUUCACACACAAGCUAUGGUUUUGUAAUAUCUAGGUUGCCCUGCUGUCGGUUCCAGAACUACAUUCUUCAAACCCUUAAUGUUUUGUGAUUAGCUAGAAAUAUGCAAUUAGGAUUUUUGGUAAAGCAUUAGCAAUCAGCCAGAAGUGUAGUUGACUCACUGGUAAGCUGUGUAGGAACAAACUCUACAGCAGGGGUGGCUAACACAUAGCUUGUGGGUUGUAUCCAGUCGCCAAUAGUUUUUCUUUUUAGGUCUCCCUAAGUUCUCCCCCCACAUUGUCAUCUUAUAAAAAAGUACGGAUUUGAUGUCUGUAUUUUUUUAGUGUUCUAAAGAAGCAUGGACUGUUCCCUAUGGGUCUCCUGAUGUGAAGCCAUUAUGGCCUUCGAAGCCCCACUUAUUUUCCAUUAAAAAGAAAUAAAUAUUUUAAAACAUUUUUACUGAAUGUGCCCACAGGUCCCCCGUUGUGAUACCAAAAUGCCCCCCAAUUUCUUCUUAAUUUUUUUAAUAGGUCCACUGCCUAGCCCAAAACUAAAUUACUUUGAAAAGCAGCAAUUUUAACAUACAGUAUAUUGUGAUGAUAUUAUUAAAAGUUGUAUCAGUUAACCAUAUCGC
Non-coding RNA from Podarcis lilfordi (Lilford's wall lizard), 16241 nucleotides. The record is from the annotation of a GenBank genome assembly. NCBI's taxonomy places the organism in Eukaryota, Metazoa, Chordata, Lepidosauria, Squamata, Lacertidae.